GCAUAACGCGAAGAACCUUACCCACCUUUGACAUGUACGGAAUCCUUUAGAGAUAGAGGAGUGCUCGAAAGAGAGCCGUAACACAGGUGCUGCAUGGCUGUCGUCAGCUCGUGUCGUGAGAUGUUGGGUUAAGUCCCGCAACGAGCGCAACCCUUGCCAUUAGUUGCUACGAAAGGGCACUCUAAUGGGACUGCCGGUGACAAACCGGAGGAAGGUGGGGAUGACGUCAAGUCCUCAUGGCCCUUAUAGGUGGGGCUACACACGUCAUACAAUGGCUGGUACAAAGGGUUGCCAACCCGCGAGGGGGAGCCAAUCCCACAAAGCCAGUCGUAGUCCGGAUCGCAGUCUGCAACUCGACUGCGUGAAGUCGGAAUCGCUAGUAAUCGUGGAUCAGAAUGUCACGGUGAAUACGUUCCCGGGUCUUGUACACACCG
RNAcentral lists this ribosomal RNA (434 nucleotides) under uncultured bacterium. RNAcentral describes it as "bacterial SSU rRNA". It matches the Rfam family "Bacterial small subunit ribosomal RNA", at positions 954 to 1392 of the family's 1533-position model. The record is from RNAcentral.